Myodes glareolus (Bank vole) is the source of this 162-nucleotide non-coding RNA. The record is from RefSeq and is a predicted model, not a curated record. Lineage: Eukaryota; Metazoa; Chordata; Mammalia; Rodentia; Cricetidae.
CUAUUUACCGGGUAGGGGAGGUACCAUGAUCACGAGGGUGGUUUUCCCAGAACGAGGCUUAUCCAUUGCAUUCCGGAUGUGCUGCCCUCUGCAAUUUCCCCAAAUGUGAGAAACUCAGCUGCAUGAUUUGUGGUAGUGGUGUACUGUGUCCACUCUCUCCAA